GAGCGGACUAACAAGGAGCUUGCUCCUUUGAAGUGAGCGGCGGACGGGUGAGUACACGUGGGCAACCUGCCCUAUAGUUUGGGAUAACUCCGGUGACAACGGGGCUAAUACCGAAUGAUACAUUUUAACUCCUGUUAGAAUGUUGAAAGAUGGUUACACUAUCGCUAUAGGAUGGGCCCGCGGCGCAUAAGCUAGUAGGUGAGGUAACGGCUCACCUAGGCAACGAUGCGUAUCCGAUCUGAGGGGGUGAUCGGCCACUCUGGGACUGAGACACGGCCCAUACUCCUACGGGAGGCAGCAGUAUGGAAUCUUCCUCAAUGGACGAAAGUCUGAUGGAUCAUCGCCGCGUGAGUGAAGAAUGUUUUCGGAUCGUAAAACUCUGUUGUAAGGGAAGAAUAAUUGCAGUAGUAACUGGCUGCACCUUGACGGUACCUUAUUAGAAAGCCACGGCUAACUACGUGCCAGCAGCCGCGGUAAU
RNAcentral lists this ribosomal RNA (478 nucleotides) under uncultured bacterium. RNAcentral's name for it is "bacterial SSU rRNA". It matches the Rfam family "Bacterial small subunit ribosomal RNA", at positions 64 to 524 of the family's 1533-position model. The record is from RNAcentral.